This is a long non-coding RNA of Tachysurus fulvidraco (yellow catfish), 969 nucleotides long. RefSeq lists it as uncharacterized. NCBI's taxonomy places the organism in Eukaryota, Metazoa, Chordata, Actinopteri, Siluriformes, Bagridae. The transcript has 6 exons. The record is from RefSeq and is a predicted model, not a curated record.
UAUUUUGUAAGUAUAAAAUCUAAGUUUCAUAAACAAAACAGACAUUUUAACAAACAUUUUUUAAAAUGUUUUUCUUUUAGAUAAAUUAUUUCCCCCCGAUUUUAGGAAAAUAUAAAAAUCUAAACUAACUAAGUCUAAAAUUAUAACCCAGUUUAUUCCCCACUGCUAUUUGAAUAAAGAAAUAAAUAUCGAUUUGUUAAAGAAACUUUGUGUAUUUGGGGGAAUAUUGUGUAAUUCUGGUGUGUAAACCGAUCGGUGUGUAAACACUUUCUGCUCUUUGAUCAGAGGACAGAGUUUUUCUGCUUUUCACACUGAUUAUAGCAAGAAGAAAAAUCACCACCAACAAGUGACUGAAACUACGAGCUUGUCUUCAGCAACAACCAGAUGUUCGGGUGUGUAGCAGUUCUUACCCGGUCCAGGUCGAAGUUCUCCUGAGUCUGUAGGAGCGGUUGUGGAGGCAGAGGUCCAGCAUGGAUCAGACCCACGCCAGCCAGCAGGAGAACCAUAAACACAGCCUUCAUUUCUGUUCGUCUCUGAGCCAAAUGAGGUUUUAGUGUGUGGUGAUGAGAGAAAGAGAGAGCACCCCCCCCCCCCCCUUGUCAAAGCCAUCGACCGCAGAUUUAAACCUCACAGUUUACUGAAAGGAAACCAGAGGAAAGGCCUUUAACUGAUCAGAAUCUGAAGAACUCAGUCUACAGGUAAAAGUAACAUUUCAGAGAACAUUCAGGCUGAGCUUCAUCUCACUCAUGAUGUGCUGUGAUCCAACACCACACUGAAAAACAGAAACAGCAGCAGAUGUGGUUCUCCUUCUGUCUGUCACUGUAUACUGCAUGGAGAUGUUUGCUGGAGAAGCUGAAGGAGAAGCAGACCUGACUGAGGAACUGUAUCUCCACCUCAAACACACUGCAGGAGAAAACUCUCCUCCACACAACACUCUCACAACUCCCUGAAGUUCCUCUCACCCUCUUC